This 62-nucleotide ribosomal RNA is filed under the name uncultured fungus. RNAcentral's name for it is "partial 28S ribosomal RNA". The record is from RNAcentral. Lineage: Eukaryota; Fungi.
UUGACCUCUCRAUCAGGCAAGCAUACCCGAAUGAACUUAAUACAUAUCAAUAAGAGGAGGAA